This 483-nucleotide ribosomal RNA is filed under the name uncultured bacterium. Its description in RNAcentral is "partial 16S ribosomal RNA". It matches the Rfam family "Bacterial small subunit ribosomal RNA", at positions 29 to 523 of the family's 1533-position model. The record is from RNAcentral.
AAUGAACGCUGGCGGCAGGCCUAACACAUGCAAGUCGAGCGAACCACUUCGGUGGUGAGCGGCGAACGGGUGAGUAACACGUAGGUGAUCUGCCCAUCAGACGGGGACAACGAUUGGAAACGAUCGCUAAUACCGGAUAGGACGAAAGUUUAAAGGUGCUUCUGGCACCGCUGAUGGAUGAGCCUGCGGCGCAUUAGCUAGUUGGUAGGGUAAAGACCUACCAAGGCGACGAUGCGUAGCCGACCUGAGAGGUUGAACGGCCACACUGGGACUGAGACACGGCCCAGACCCCUACGGGAGGCAGCCGUAGGGAAGCUUCGGCAAUGGGCGAAAGCCUGACCGAGCAACGCCGCGUGAAUGAUGAAGGCCUUCGGGUUGUAAAAUUCUGUUAUAAGGGAAGAACGACUUUAGUAGGAAAUGGCUAGAGUGUGACGGUACCUUAUGAGAAAGCCACGGCUAACUACGUGCCAGCAGCCGCCGUAA